RNAcentral lists this ribosomal RNA (934 nucleotides) under uncultured bacterium. Its description in RNAcentral is "bacterial SSU rRNA". It matches the Rfam family "Bacterial small subunit ribosomal RNA", at positions 67 to 1048 of the family's 1533-position model. The record is from RNAcentral.
CGGAUCCUUCGGGAUUAGUGGCGGACGGGUGAGUAACACGUGGGAACGUGCCCUUAGGUUCGGAACAACUCAGGGAAACUUGAGCUAAUACCGGAUGUGCCCUUCGGGGGAAAGAUUUAUCGCCAUUGGAGCGGCCCGCGUCUGAUUAGCUAGUUGGUGAGGUAAAGGCUCACCAAGGCGACGAUCAGUAGCUGGUCUGAGAGGAUGAUCAGCCACAUUGGGACUGAGACACGGCCCAAACUCCUACGGGAGGCAGCAGUGGGGAAUCUUGCGCAAUGGGCGAAAGCCUGACGCAGCCAUGCCGCGUGAAUGAUGAAGGUCUUAGGAUUGUAAAAUUCUUUCACCGGGGACGAUAAUGACGGUACCCGGAGAAGAAGCCCCGGCUAACUUCGUGCCAGCAGCCGCGGUAAUACGAAGGGGGCUAGCGUUGCUCGGAAUUACUGGGCGUAAAGGGAGCGUAGGCGGACUGUUAAGUUAGAGGUGAAAGCCCAGGGCUCAACCUUGGAAUUGCCUUUGAUACUGGCAGUCUUGAGUACGGAAGAGGUAUGUGGAACUCCGAGUGUAGAGGUGAAAUUCGUAGAUAUUCGGAAGAACACCAGUGGCGAAGGCGACAUACUGGUCCGUUACUGACGCUGAGGCUCGAAAGCGUGGGGAGCAAACAGGAUUAGAUACCCUGGUAGUCCACGCCGUAAACGAUGAGUGCUAGUUGUCGGCAUGCAUGCAUGUCGGUGACGCAGCUAACGCAUUAAGCACUCCGCCUGGGGAGUACGGUCGCAAGAUUAAAACUCAAAGGAAUUGACGGGGGCCCGCACANNNNNNNGAGCAUGUGGUUUAAUUCGAAGCAACACGCAGAACCUUACCACCUUUUGACAUGCCCGGACCGCCACAGAGAUGUGGUUUUCCCUUCGGGGACNGGNNNACAGGUGCUGCAUGG